GCUCACGCUGGGAGCUGUAGACCGGAGCUGUUCCUAUUCGGCCAUCUUGGCUCCACUCUCCUUUAUUUUUCUUAAGCUUUAGGUUUAAACAUUCAAAAUAGUAUUGUUUUUCCUAUUGAGAAUGUCAAAUUAUAAGCUAUAAAUUCAAGGGAUAAUUUUGUAUUGUUAAUGUCAGAGAAAUGCUUUUUGAUUUUAGUUUGUUUAGUCUCAGUAUGAGUUACUUUUGGGAUACUUUAAUAUAAUAAUUCUGGCACAGAAUCUACUACAGAUUUCAGUGUUCUCUAUUUUCAUUUCACUCAAUGUAUUAAACACAGAUUAAUUGAGGCUGAAUUGCAUGUAGUCUAAGAUGCCAAAUACUUGCAUAGAAAGAAUUCAUAUUGAGAAUGAAAAGUAAUUCUGCUAAGAAAAGAACUGUUAAAACAACGAGGAGUAAUUACAUAUAUUUUUUACUUUAAAAUGCAGAAAAAAAUAUGUGCCAAAAUUCUGUAACCAUAUUUUUUCAAUUAUAAAACCAAUAUAAACAAAAAUACAUGUCUGAAUAGUAUUGUGGCUCUUUACCCGUAUGAAAGUGUUUAAACCAUCAAGUGAUAAAAUUUAGGUGAAAAGACGUUAUAAGUUAAAAUUCUGUAUAAAUUAAGAAUAGCUUUACUAGUAAAUUUUAAUAUUGUACAUAUGUUGUCAGAAGUGAUUAAGGUAAUUACAUACUCCAAUUAUUUUCCUUUUUUUGCAAAUAUAUCCACUAUGUUUUUUGAAUGAAUCUAUUUUUAUUAUAAUUAUGUCAUAUGUAAAUAGGCUAUAAUAUUUAAAUUUUCCUUUUAAUCAUUACUGCACAUAUAUAUUGAAAUUUACUGCAAUUGUAUGCAAUUCUCAUUUUUAGGCAUAGAUAAUAAAGACAAGAAUAAGGUAAAAUUUUGCCCUGAGUAUACUUACAUUUUAAUGGGGAAAAGAACAGACAUAAAUGCAUCUAAUUUCAGGUAUUGAUAAAUGUGUGAAACUAAGUGAAACAGUGUGAAGCAUGAAGUAUGAUAAUCGGAGGCAAAGAAAAGCCUAUUGUGGUUUGUUCAAGAAGAAUUGACAGUGACUGGAAGUAGGAUGAUAGCAGCUGAAAUGGGGAAAAUAUCCGGUUUUAGGAUGCAUAUUGCUGGUAAAGUGAAGAGAACAUGCAAGUACAAAGGAAAGAGUAGAAUUGGGGUCACUCCCACCUUUAAAGGCUGAGCAAUUUGAGAAAAAAAGACAAAGGUUCCUGAUGAAAGUGGAAUUAUACCUCCAGAUUGCCUUGGAAGUUGAGCUGCAACAUCAACUUUUCCCUGAAGCUCCAGCCUGCUAGCCUACCAGCACAUGCUGCAGAUUUUGGACUUGCCAGCCCCCACAAUUAUGUGAGCCCAUUCCUUAAAAAUAAAUUCAGUUCAAUCUCUCUCUCUCUCUCUCUCUCCAUACAUACAUCCUAUUGGUUCUGUUUCUUUGGAGAACUCUGACUGAUACAGAUUUUGGUACCAAAAGUGGUUCUUAGGCUGCUCAUUCAUCCUGACAAUCAAAAGUGGUUCUUAAAGAACAAAAUCUUAAAAACCCAUUUUCUAAAUUGGCUCUGGGGUUUCUGCAAUUGGUUCCCUAGUCUAAUUAGAUUUAAAAGCAUUAGUGUUGCAUUUCCAGGAGUAAAAGGAACACUGAUAAUCCAUGGCAUGAUAUGAUGAUAAUAGAGAUACUCAGAAUAUCACCAUUGGAUUCUUUUAAUCAAAUACUUAAAAGAGGCAAGGUUCUGGGUGACCUAUGUAAUACCUUCAAACAUCUCUGUCAAGCUAAUCUUAGAGUUUUCAUUUCACACGUGAACUGGGAAUAAUUACUUUUACCCCAAAAAGAGUUGUAUUGAAGAAAAAAUGAGCUAACCCUUUUGGAAUAUCUGGCACAUGGUAUGCACUUACUAAACUGUCAUGUUAUCAAGGUUGACACUAC
This 1950-nucleotide long non-coding RNA is filed under the name Homo sapiens (human). Its description in RNAcentral is "HSALNT0110122". The record is from RNAcentral. Lineage: Eukaryota; Metazoa; Chordata; Mammalia; Primates; Hominidae.